Molecule: ribosomal RNA, 435 nt
Filed under: uncultured bacterium
Lineage: Bacteria
Description: bacterial SSU rRNA
Rfam family: Bacterial small subunit ribosomal RNA
Source: RNAcentral
GAUGAACGCUGGCGGCGUGCUUAACACAUGCAAGUCGAGCGAAGCAGUUAAGAAGAUUCUUCGGAUGAUUCUUAACUGACUGAGCGGCGGACGGGUGAGUAACGCGUGGGUGACCUGCCCCAUACCGGGGGAUAACAGCUGGAAACGGCUGCUAAUACCGCAUAAGCGCACAGAGCUGCAUGGCUCGGUGUGAAAAACUCCGGUGGUAUGGGAUGGACCCGCGUCUGAUUAGGCAGUUGGCGGGGUAACGGCCCACCAAACCGACGAUCAGUAGCCGGCCUGAGAGGGCGACCGGCCACAUUGGGACUGAGACACGGCCCAAACUCCUACGGGAGGCAGCAGUGGGGAAUAUUGCACAAUGGGGGAAACCCUGAUGCAGCGACGCCGCGUGAGCGAAGAAGUAUUUCGGUAUGUAAAGCUCUAUCAGCAGGGAAG